UUACGGCCAUAUCAUGUUGAAACACUGAUUCCCGUACGAUCACCGAAGUUAAACAACGUCGAGCCUGGUCAGUACCUUAAUUUGUGGCCGCAGUAAGCUUGGAUGUGCAGGUGGUGU
Molecule: non-coding RNA, 117 nt
Organism: Acanthosepion pharaonis
Lineage: Eukaryota; Metazoa; Mollusca; Cephalopoda; Sepiida; Sepiidae
Source: the annotation of a GenBank genome assembly